GUGGGGAAUCUUCCGCAAUGGACGAAAGUCUGACGGAGCGACGCCGCGUGAGUGAUGAAGGCCUUCGGGUCGUAAAGCUCUGUCAUCGGGGACGAACGGCCUCAGCAGGUAAUGGCUGGGGAUUGACGGUACCCGAGAAGGAAGCCACGGCUAACUACGUGCCAGCAGCCGCGGUAAUACGUAGGUGGCAAGCGUUGUCCGGAAUUAUUGGGCGUAAAGCGCGCGCAGGUGGGAUCUUAAGUCCAUUUUGAAAGUUCGGAGCUCAACUCCGUGAUGGGAUGGAAACUGGGAUUCUUGAGUACCGGAGAGGAAAGCGGAAUUCCCCGUGUAGCGGUGAAAUGCGUAGAUAUGGGGAGGAACACCAGUGGCGAAGGCGGCUUUCUGGACGGUGUCUGACACUGAGGCGCGAAAGCCAGGGGAGCGAACGGGAUUAGAUACCCCUGUAGUCC
RNAcentral lists this ribosomal RNA (449 nucleotides) under uncultured bacterium. RNAcentral describes it as "partial 16S ribosomal RNA". It matches the Rfam family "Bacterial small subunit ribosomal RNA", at positions 354 to 796 of the family's 1533-position model. The record is from RNAcentral.